AGCGAAGUAACUCACCGUUGUUGGCAUUGGUAUGUUUCACGAGCAAAGAUUUUGGAACGAAGCGAAUGACAUCAUGGAUCCUCCUAUUGCUUAAUUAAUGAAUUGUGCCGUAUGGAAAAAAUGAGUUUAUGGAAGAUUGUGGCAUAGCGUGAGAUAUUAAUUCCACGAAAACAAAAGUUCAAUUUAGAGAGGUUCUCUAUAAUACUUUAUCUUCAUAUAAUACAAUGUCAUAUUAAAUAGAAAAUACUGAUUUAUGCAUUUUAAAUAAUAUCAUAAUUUGGAUUGCGUUUGAUUAUUGCAUUUGAUAUAAUAUUCUUGUUGCAAGAUUGUAAUAUGGCUACCGCACAGUUGAACAGAGCCAGGACUAUAAAGAAGCUUGAAAAACCACGGCCGCUUAAGCUUAAUCAGCGCAACCCGACCGUCGAUGGGCGGAUCACGACUGUAGAGGAUAUAGUAUCCUUAAUCGACAAUGUUGCCAUGCAACUGACCAAUGGCUUCCAUGAUCGAACGCUGCAAAUGAAUGUGAUUUCUAUGUGCAGUCAUCUGAAGCUUUAUGCCAACCAAUUAGAAGCUAUUUACAAAG
Long non-coding RNA from Formica exsecta, 583 nucleotides. RefSeq lists it as uncharacterized. The transcript has 3 exons. Lineage: Eukaryota; Metazoa; Arthropoda; Insecta; Hymenoptera; Formicidae. The record is from RefSeq and is a predicted model, not a curated record.